UGAAGCAUGGAAAAUUCCUGGAGUUGCUCCUUUUGCUCUUUGCCUUUUCUUCGCCAAAUUGGUUGCUUAUACAUUUCUUUAUUGGCUUCCUUUCUACAUUAGCCACACAGGUACCUUAACUUCAUCACUUAUGAUUUUUCUUAAAUUGGAUAAAUUAAAAUCUUUCUUUGAUGUAUUUACGAGAAACCAACUAAAAAGAUAUUCAAGCUUUGAGUUUCUAUAUACAUGUGUCCAAUUCCUCUCAUGAUUGACCUUUUGAAGAGUCUUGGCUUCAUCUACUUCUUAUGAAGUCUUUCAUGGUCAAACAACAGAAGCUUUUCAAAAUGGAUAAUUCUGAUUUUAUGUUCAUAUAAUGUUUUAUCCUUCAAUCCCAUCACAUUGGAAGUGAGAAUGCAUCAUUAGUCUUGAAUAAAAUUUUCAAGUUGCUUUUCAUACUAGUGGAUCAUGUAUUUCCAAAGGUCCUCUGUGAACUUUUAAAUAAAAUAUUUCAUUGUAUCACAUUGAUAUCGGUUUUUAUAUCACUUCGUUCUUCGCCUGUUACCUUCAGUACAUACAUGCCUUUGAAUUAUGAAAUGUGUAGUUGAAUCCUUCUGUAAAGCAGUCCCUAGAUUCUGAUUGGUUCCAUUGCCAUUCAUUUUCUUCCAGAUAUAGAUGGCAAGUACUUAUCCAGUGAGGCAGCUGGAAACUUAUCUACAGUCUUUGAUGUUGGAGGGGUGGUUGGAGGAAUUCUAGCUGGCCAUAUUUCAGACCGCCUAGGUGCCAGAGCCAUAACAGCAGCAAGUUUUAUGUACUGUGCUAUCCCUGCCCUCUUCUUCUACCGAAGCUAUGGAAGCAU
This 835-nucleotide long non-coding RNA is filed under the name Vitis vinifera (wine grape). RNAcentral's name for it is "long non-coding RNA (VVIN_LNC005422)". Lineage: Eukaryota; Viridiplantae; Streptophyta; Magnoliopsida; Vitales; Vitaceae. The record is from RNAcentral.